RNAcentral lists this ribosomal RNA (793 nucleotides) under uncultured bacterium. RNAcentral describes it as "bacterial SSU rRNA". It matches the Rfam family "Bacterial small subunit ribosomal RNA", at positions 8 to 796 of the family's 1533-position model. The record is from RNAcentral.
AGAGUUUGAUCCUGGCUCAGGAUGAACGCUAGCGGCAGGCUUAAUACAUGCAAGUCGUGGGGCAGCACAGGUAGCAAUACUGGGUGGCGACCGGCAAACGGGUGCGGAACACGUACGCAACCUUCCUUUAAGUGGGGGAUAGCCCAGGGAAACUUGGAUUAAUACCCCGUAAGAUUGUGGUGUGGCAUCACACUACAAUGAAAGCUCCGGUACUUAAAGAUGGGCGUGCGGCUGAUUAGGUAGUUGGCGGGGUAACGGCCCACCAAGCCAACGAUCAGUAACUGGUGUGAGAGCACGACCAGUCACACGGGCACUGAGACACGGGCCCGACUCCUACGGGAGGCAGCAGUAAGGAAUAUUGGUCAAUGGACGCAAGUCUGAACCAGCCAUGCCGCGUGGAGGAUGAAGGCCCUCUGGGUUGUAAACUUCUUUUAUCUGGGAAGAAACCACUCUUUUCUAAGGGUGUUGACGGUACCAGUUGAAUAAGCACCGGCUAACUCCGUGCCAGCAGCCGCGGUAAUACGGAGGGUGCAAGCGUUAUCCGGAUUCACUGGGUUUAAAGGGUGCGUAGGUGGGCAGGUAAGUCAGUGGUGAAAUCUCCGGGCUUAACCCGGAAACUGCCGUUGAUACUAUCUGUCUUGAAUGUAGUGGAGGUGAGCGGAAUAUGUCAUGUAGCGGUGAAAUGCUUAGAUAUGACAUAGAACACCCAUUGCGAAGGCAGCUCGCUACACUAUUAUUGACACUGAGGCACGAAAGCGUGGGGAUCAAACAGGAUUAGAUACCCUUGUAGUCC